GACGAACGCUGGCGGCGUGCUUAACACAUGCAAGUCGAACGGAAAGGCCCUGCUUUUGUGGGGUGCUCGAGUGGCGAACGGGUGAGUAACACGUGAGUAACCUGCCCUUGACUUUGGGAUAACUUCAGGAAACUGGGGCUAAUACCGGAUAGGAGCUCCUGCUGCAUGGUGGGGGUUGGAAAGUUUCGGCGGUUGGGGAUGGACUCGCGGCUUAUCAGCUUGUUGGUGGGGUAGUGGCUUACCAAGGCUUUGACGGGUAGCCGGCCUGAGAGGGUGACCGGCCACAUUAGGACUGAGAUACGGCCCAGACUCCUACGGGAGGCAGCAGUGGGGAAUAUUGCACAAUGGGCGGAAGCCUGAUGCAGCAACGCCGCGUGCGGGAUGACGGCCUUCGGGUUGUAAACCGCUUUCGCCUGUGACGAAGCGUGAGUGACGGUAAUGGGUAAAGAAGCACCGGCUAACUACGUG
This 468-nucleotide ribosomal RNA is filed under the name uncultured bacterium. RNAcentral describes it as "partial 16S ribosomal RNA". It matches the Rfam family "Bacterial small subunit ribosomal RNA", at positions 28 to 507 of the family's 1533-position model. The record is from RNAcentral.